GUGGGGAAUAUUGGGCAAUGGGCGCAAGCCUGACCCAGCAACGCCGCGUGAAGGAAUAAGGCUUUCGGGUUGUAAACUUCUUUUACCAGGGACGAAACAAAUGACGGUACCUGGUGAAUAAGCCACGGCUAACUACGUGCCAGCAGCCGCGGUAAUACGUAGGUGGCGAGCGUUAUCCGGAUUUAUUGGGUGUAAAGGGCGUGUAGGCGGGACAGCAAGUCAGAUGUGAAAACCAGAGGCUCAACCUCUGGCCUGCAUUUGAAACUGUUGUUCUUGAGUGUCGGAGAGGUAAUCGGAAUUCCGUGUGUAGCGGUGAAAUGCGUAGAUAUACGGAGGAACACCAGUGGCGAAGGCGGAUUACUGGACAUUAACCGACGCUGAUGCGCGAAAGCGUGGGGAGCAAACAGGAUUAGAAACCCCAGUAGUCC
Molecule: ribosomal RNA, 428 nt
Filed under: uncultured bacterium
Lineage: Bacteria
Description: partial 16S ribosomal RNA
Rfam family: Bacterial small subunit ribosomal RNA
Source: RNAcentral